Molecule: ribosomal RNA, 506 nt
Filed under: uncultured Actinomycetes bacterium
Lineage: Bacteria; Bacillati; Actinomycetota; Actinomycetes
Description: bacterial SSU rRNA
Rfam family: Bacterial small subunit ribosomal RNA
Source: RNAcentral
CAGGGAAUAUUGCACAAUGGGCGCAAGCCUGAUGCAGCGACGCCGCGUGCGGGAUGAAGGCCUUCGGGUUGUAAACCGCUUUCAGGAGGGACGAAAUUGACGGUACCUCCAGAAGAAGCCCCGGCCAACUACGUGCCAGCAGCCGCGGUAACACGUAGGGGGCGAACGUUGUCCGGAUUUAUUGGGCGUAAAGGGCUCGUAGGCGGCUUGACAAGUCGGUCGUGAAAACCCGGGGCUCAACCCCGGGACGCCGGUCGAUACUGUCAUGGCUAGGGUCUGGUAGAGGUGAGUGGAAUUCUCGGUGUAGCGGUGAAAUGCGCAGAUAUCGAGAGGAACACCAGUAGCGAAGGCGGCUCACUGGGCCGGUACCGACGCUGAGGAGCGAAAGCGUGGGGAGGCAAACAGGAUUAGAUACCCUGGUAGUCACGCCGUAAACGUUGAACACUAGGUGUGGCGGACUGAUCUACGUCUGCCGUGCCGCAGCUAACGCAUUAAGUGUUCCGCCU